GUAUAGACUCCAACAAAGAUGUGAAUUCCGGGCCUCUUGCACGGCACUCUCUUUUUUCAACUUGGCAAUAUAGCCAACAGAGAUUGUAACGUAGUUACAGAAGGUCGACAAAAAUAUAAUUUUAAUCCAAACCUAAUCGCCAAGUAAGAUAUUUUUCAAUUUCAAAAUAUGGGACCAGCGAGGGUUAUCGAUUACCUUUUAGUAACACGAGAGUCCCUGGUGGUGGGAUUUAGAACCACCAAUUUAAACCUAUCAUGCAGCAAGCUUACUGGGAGGAUCUCAUCACUAAAACUAAUGACGAUUAGCCUCAUCAGUUCAUACGGGAACUGAAAUGUUGUUUUUCUCAAAAGUACAAAAGAAGACUAUUGAAAAGAGGGCGUCGCGUGGGUCUAGCAUGGUUGAGUCAUCCGAUGAUCUAGUAUUCUCAAAUCGAUCGGUGAGCCAGUUAGAAGUGUCUAAGCAAAUUAGAGAAAAUCAAGUGUAAUAUAGCAGUAGUGAUUGAAGGUCGAUCGAAAAGUUUGUGUAAGCCCAGAUUGUGACUAUUAAGAGAAAAUUCUUUAAAUCUAAAUUGUAAUUUCAGUUUGAGAAACGUAAGGUGGAAUUUAAGAAAGCAAAAGUUGGCCCGGUAGCAAAAAGUUUUAAUCAGACAUUGUGAGUGACCUAGGACUGAAAAGUGUACAAGUACAUAAUUGUUCAAUCUGUUUCCUAUUUUUAACAAUUCUCGCAGAAGAAACCUGGAAUUAAAUGGUCUGAAAGAAAAAAAAACUAAGAAAAGUGUAGUGCGGAAUACUGCACGUGUAAUACCUCCCUCGAGGCUCAGGACACUACUAUCCUUCAAGCGAAGGUGCUAGUGUAGGGUGUAGGGGAUAGCGACCAGCCACGCUGUCUCUAGGGACGAGUCAGAAGCUCGGCGACUUGUAGGCUCGCCUCGUCGUCCGCGCCAGUAUUCGACCCUCGCGCACCCUGGGCCGAAGGAAUCCACGCCUUCCGGAGGAAUUCGGACGCUACUAACCGAAUAUCGCUCCAUCGGUCUCGAAGGGAGAUUCACACCACGUGAGCGCAUUGGCACCGCCCAUCACCACCCC
This is a long non-coding RNA of Aedes albopictus (Asian tiger mosquito), 1085 nucleotides long. RefSeq lists it as uncharacterized. The record is from RefSeq and is a predicted model, not a curated record. NCBI's taxonomy places the organism in Eukaryota, Metazoa, Arthropoda, Insecta, Diptera, Culicidae. The transcript has 2 exons.